RNAcentral lists this ribosomal RNA (909 nucleotides) under uncultured bacterium. RNAcentral describes it as "bacterial SSU rRNA". It matches the Rfam family "Bacterial small subunit ribosomal RNA", at positions 22 to 922 of the family's 1533-position model. The record is from RNAcentral.
GCUCAGGAUGAACGCUAGCUACAGGCUUAACACAUGCAAGUCGAGGGGAAACGACAUCGAAAGCUUGCUUUUGAUGGGCGUCGACCGGCGCACGGGUGAGUAACGCGUAUCCAACCUGCCACCACUUGGGAAUAACCUUGCGAAAGUAAGACUAAUACCCAAUGACGUCUCUAGAAGACAUCUGAAAGAGAUUAAAGAUUUAUCGGUGAUGGAUGGGGAUGCGUCUGAUUAGCUUGUUGGCGGGGUAACGGCCCACCAAGGCUACGAUCAGUAGGGGUUCUGAGAGGAAGGUCCCCCACAUUGGAACUGAGACACGGUCCAAACUCCUACGGGAGGCAGCAGUGAGGAAUAUUGGUCAAUGGACGAGAGUCUGAACCAGCCAAGUAGCGUGCAGGAUGACGGCCCUAUAGGUUGUAAACUGCUUUUAUAAGGGAAUAAAGUGAGUCUCGUGAGACUUUUUGCAUGUACCUUAUGAAUAAGGACCGGCUAAUUCCGUGCCAGCAGCCGCGGUAAUACGGAAGGUCCGGGCGUUAUCCGGAUUUAUUGGGUUUAAAGGGAGCGUAGGCCGGAGAUUAAGCGUGUUGUGAAAUGUAGAUGCUCAACAUCUGCACUGCAGCGCGAACUGGUUUCCUUGAGUACGCACAAAGUGGGCGGAAUUCGUGGUGUAGCGGUGAAAUGCUUAGAUAUCACGAAGAACUCCGAUUGCGAAGGCAGCUCACUGGAGCGCAACUGACGCUGAAGCUCGAAAGUGCGGGUAUCGAACAGGAUUAGAUACCCUGGUAGUCCGCACGGUAAACGAUGGAUGCCCGCUGUUGGUCUGAAUAGGUCAGCGGCCAAGCGAAAGCAUUAAGCAUCCCACCUGGGGAGUACGCCGGCAACGGUGAAACUCAAAGGAAUUGACGGAAGGGC